This 424-nucleotide ribosomal RNA is filed under the name Verrucomicrobiota bacterium. RNAcentral describes it as "Verrucomicrobia bacterium partial 16S ribosomal RNA". It matches the Rfam family "Bacterial small subunit ribosomal RNA", at positions 355 to 776 of the family's 1533-position model. Lineage: Bacteria; Pseudomonadati; Verrucomicrobiota. The record is from RNAcentral.
UGAGGAAUAUUGGUCAAUGGGCGAGAGCCUGAACCAGCCAAGUAGCGUGCAGGAUGACGGCCCUAUGGGUUGUAAACUGCUUUUAUGUGGGGAUAAAGUGCGUGACGUGUCAUGCAUUGCAGGUACCAGAUGAAUAAGGACCGGCUAAUUCCGUGCCAGCAGCCGCGGUAAUACGGAAGGUCCGGGCGUUAUCCGGAUUUAUUGGGUUUAAAGGGAGCGUAGGCUGUCUAUUAAGCGUGUUGUGAAAUUUACCGGCUCAACCGGUGGCUUGCAGCGCGAACUGGUCGACUUGAGUAUGCAGGAAGUAGGCGGAAUUCAUGGUGUAGCGGUGAAAUGCUUAGAUAUCAUGACGAACUCCGAUUGCGCAGGCAGCUUACUGUAGCAUAACUGACGCUGAUGCUCGAAAGUGCGGGUAUCAAACAGG